GGGCACACGGGAGGCAUGGGGCCACCAAUUUGGCCUCGACAUCGGGAGAGAUCAUGCGGAGGAGGUGGUGCCACUCACAAAGGAGCUUCGGAGCCACUGAAGUCAGCCCCGGCACUGGCGGAGGUGCGCAUGCAUGCUGGAGAGGCCGGUGACCAUCGAUGCCUUUUUCCUCUCUUUCCCACUUCUUCUCUCUCCCUCUUUCUUUAAUUUUUUUUAUCUUAUCUGGAUGUGUGGCUUGUGGGG
This 243-nucleotide long non-coding RNA is filed under the name Elaeis guineensis (African oil palm). RNAcentral describes it as "long non-coding RNA (EGUI_LNC080555)". Lineage: Eukaryota; Viridiplantae; Streptophyta; Magnoliopsida; Arecales; Arecaceae. The record is from RNAcentral.